AUACGUAGGGGGCAAGCGUUGUCCGGAAUUACUGGGCGUAAAGGGUGCGUAGGCGGCCAGGCAAGUCCGAUGUGAAAUACCACGGCUAAACUGUGGGGGUGCAUAGGAAACUGUCUGGCUUGAGUGCAGGAGAGGAAAGUGGAAUUCCUGGUGUAGCAGUGAAAUGCGUAGAGAUCAGGAAGAACACCAGUGGCGAAGGCGGCUUUCUGGACUGUAACUGACGCUGAGGCACGAAAGCGUGGGGAGCAAACAGGAUUAGAUACCCUGGUAGUCCACGCCGUAAACGAUGGAUACUAGGUGUAGGGGGUAUCGACCCCCCCUGUGCCGGAGUUAACGCAAUAAGUAUCCCGCCUGGGGAGUACGGCCGCAAGGUUGAA
Molecule: ribosomal RNA, 377 nt
Filed under: uncultured bacterium
Lineage: Bacteria
Description: bacterial SSU rRNA
Rfam family: Bacterial small subunit ribosomal RNA
Source: RNAcentral